UUUAUUGAGAGUUUGAUUCUAGCUCAGGGUGAACGCUGGUAACGUGGAUAAGGCAUGCAAGUCGAGCGGAUACGAUGAGAUUACAUCAAGUCGUAUUAGCGGCGAACGGGUUAGUAACACGUAGGUAUCAACCCCAAAGACGGGCAUAACCAGUCGAAAGAUUGGCUAAUUCCCGAUAGCUCCCGCAAGGGUAAAGGAGCAAUCCGCUUUGGGAUGGGCCUGCGUCCUAUCAGCUAGUUGGUAAGGUAACGGCUUACCAAGGCUAUGACGGGUAGGGGGCGUGAGAGCGCGAUCCCCAACAAUGGCACUGCGACACGGGCCAUACUUCUACGGAAGGCUGCAGUCGAGAAUCUUCCACAAUGGGCGAAAGCCUGAUGGAGCGACGUUACGUGACUGAAGAAGCUCUUCGGAGUGUAAAAGUCUUUUCUCUGGGAGGAAGUAAUUGACAGUACCAGAGGAAUAAGGAGAUCCUAAUUCUGUGGUCAACCCACAAAGAAACGUGAAGGUUGACAGGCGCAGAAUCAAAAUUCGGCUAAUAUGCUGGAAAACUUUUAGAUGUCCGCUCAAGUUUUGCUAAAUUGCAAACGCGUCUAAAAAUAAUCAGCAGGGAAGUCUCCGUUUAUUAACGGAUGACCCCUCAGAGACUGAAUCCUGUAAAAGGAUGAGAUAGCGGUGAACAUUACCCGUUAUCAUACGCCGAGCAUCGACUAAUUAAAGUUGGUGAAGAGAUAGUCCAUAUUAGAUGUUGACAAAUUUUUUGUCUAAUGUCGCCAGCAGGAGCGGUAAUACAGAAUCUCCAAGUGUUGCCCGGAUUUAUUGGGUGUAAAGGGUUCGUAGGUGGCUAAAUUAGUCUUUGGUUAAAUCUCAUCGGCUCAACCUUUGAGUCCCCAAAGAUACUGUUUGGCUAGAGGGCGUUAGAGGCUGACGGAACCGACGGUGUAGGGGUGAAAUCCGUUGAUAUCGUCGGGAACACCGAAAGCGAAGGCAGUCAGCUAGGACGACCCUGACACUGAGGAACGAAAGCGUGGGGAUCAAAAAGGAUUAGAUACCCUUGUAGUCCACGCCGUAAACGAUGAUCACUGGCUAUUGGCAGUGUCGACCCUGUCAGUGGCGAAGCUAACGCGUUAAGUGAUCCACCUGGGAAGUACGGCCGCAAGGCUAAAACUCAAAGAAAUAGACGGGGACUCACACAAGCGGUGGACCAUGUGGCUCAAUUCGACAACAAACGAAGAACCUUACCAGGGCUUGAAAUCCUGACGAAAGCUUGCCGAAAGGCAGGCCUCCCACAAGGCGGCAGGACAGGUACUGCAUGGUUGUCGUCAGCUCGUGCCUUGAGGCGUACCGUUAAUUCGGGUAACGAGCGCAACCCUUGCCUUAUGUUUUACAUGUCAUAAGGGACUGCCCGGGAUAACCGGGAGGAAGGCGAGGAUGACGCCAAAUCAGCAUGGUCCUUUGAUGCCCUGGGCUGCACACGUGGUACAAUGGCCGGUACAAUGGGUUACAAAACCGUAAGGUGAAGUUAAUCCCACCAAAGCCGGUCUCAGUUCGGAUUGAGGGCUGCAACUCGCCCUCAUGAAGCCGGAAUCGCUAGUAAUCGCCGAUCAGCUACGCGGCGAUGAAUAUGUUCCUGAGUCUUGUACUCACCGCCAGUAAAAAGCGCGUCUGGCAGCUUAAUUGACUAGUUGGUGAAAGUCCAACCUCUUU
Molecule: ribosomal RNA, 1704 nt
Filed under: Patescibacteria group bacterium
Lineage: Bacteria
Also listed under: 1 other name
Description: bacterial SSU rRNA
Rfam family: Bacterial small subunit ribosomal RNA
Source: RNAcentral